This 429-nucleotide ribosomal RNA is filed under the name Chloroflexota bacterium. RNAcentral's name for it is "Chloroflexi bacterium partial 16S ribosomal RNA". It matches the Rfam family "Bacterial small subunit ribosomal RNA", at positions 355 to 776 of the family's 1533-position model. The record is from RNAcentral. Lineage: Bacteria; Bacillati; Chloroflexota.
UAGGGAAUCUUCGGCAAUGGACGAAAGUCUGACCGAGCAACGCCGCGUGAGUGAAGAAGGUUUUCGGAUCGUAAAACUCUGUUGUUAGAGAAGAACAAGGACGUUAGUAACUGAACGUCCCCUGACGGUAUCUAACCAGAAAGCCACGGCUAACUACGUGCCAGCAGCCGCGGUAAUACGUAGGUGGCAAGCGUUGUCCGGAUUUAUUGGGCGUAAAGCGAGCGCAGGCGGUUUCUUAAGUCUGAUGUGAAAGCCCCCGGCUCAACCGGGGAGGGUCAUUGGAAACUGGGAGACUUGAGUGCAGAAGAGGAGAGUGGAAUUCCAUGUUUAGCGGUGAAAUGCGUAGAUAUAUGGAGGAACACCAGUGGCGAAGGCGGCUCUCUGGUCUGUAACUGACGCUGAGGCUCGAAAGCGUGGGGAGCAAACAGG